AAGACUUCAUGAAGAAAUGCUGUUGUGAAGACUUCCUGAAGACAGAGUUUCAGAAAGAGCAGGAGUUUCUCAAAAAGAGAGAGGCCCAGUUUCAAGAUAUUAAAUUA
Poecilia latipinna (sailfin molly) is the source of this 107-nucleotide long non-coding RNA. RefSeq lists it as uncharacterized. The transcript is spliced from 3 exons. The record is from RefSeq and is a predicted model, not a curated record. Lineage: Eukaryota; Metazoa; Chordata; Actinopteri; Cyprinodontiformes; Poeciliidae.